UCUUGCAUGGAUUGUUGUAACGCAACGUCAGACAAAUGACCACAGGACGACUGCAAAAUUUUUCAUAAUUAAAAAUCAAAGCUUUAAUUGAGUACAAAGAAAUCGCCAAAGCAAGCAGGCAACAUUAAGUCAACAAUGUAAAAAAUGAGAAAUUCAUUUAUCAAAUACGCUGCCAGACAGUCUGUCUUAAAUCAUUUGGGACUGAGACCCGUCAUUUCAACAAGCUGUUCCUUCAUCAUGGCGUCGGGUCGAGGGUUAGCAGCGUAACACGU
Xenia sp. Carnegie-2017 is the source of this 272-nucleotide long non-coding RNA. RefSeq lists it as uncharacterized. NCBI's taxonomy places the organism in Eukaryota, Metazoa, Cnidaria, Anthozoa, Malacalcyonacea, Xeniidae. The record is from RefSeq and is a predicted model, not a curated record. The transcript has 3 exons.